UACGUAGGGAGCAAGCGUUGUCCGGAAUCAUUGGGUGUAAAGCGCGCGUAGGCGGCCUCGUAAGUCCGUUGUGAAAGUCAAAGGCUCAACCUUUGAAAGCCGAUGGAUACUGUGAGGCUAGAGUCCGGAAGAGGCGAGUGGAAUUCCUGGUGUAGCGGUGGAAUGCGCAGAUAUCAGGAGGAACACCAAUAGCGAAGGCAGCUCGCUGGGACGGUACUGACGCUAAGGCGCGAAAGCGUGGGGAGCGAACAGG
Molecule: ribosomal RNA, 253 nt
Filed under: uncultured bacterium
Lineage: Bacteria
Description: partial 16S ribosomal RNA
Rfam family: Bacterial small subunit ribosomal RNA
Source: RNAcentral